RNAcentral lists this ribosomal RNA (2112 nucleotides) under Paraburkholderia tropica. RNAcentral's name for it is "23S ribosomal RNA". It matches the Rfam family "Bacterial large subunit ribosomal RNA", at positions 1 to 2162 of the family's 2925-position model. Lineage: Bacteria; Pseudomonadati; Pseudomonadota; Betaproteobacteria; Burkholderiales; Burkholderiaceae. The record is from RNAcentral.
GGUCAAGCGAACAAGUGCAUGUGGUGGAUGCCUUGGCGAUCACAGGCGAUGAAGGACGCGGUAGCCUGCGAAAAGCGGUGGGGAGCUGGCAAACAAGCUUUGAUCCACCGAUAUCCGAAUGGGGAAACCCACUCCGUAUGGAGUAUCCAUGACUGAAUACAUAGGUCAUGUGAAGCGAACGCGGCGAACUGAAACAUCUAAGUAGCCGCAGGAAAAGAAAUCAACCGAGAUUCCCAAAGUAGUGGCGAGCGAAAUGGGAUCAGCCUGUACUCUUUAUCUUCGUUGUUAGCCAAACGCUCUGGAAAGUGCGGCCAUAGUGGGUGAUAGCCCCGUAGGCGAAAACAGCGAGGAAGAACUAGGUGUACGACAAGUAGGGCGGGACACGUGAAAUCCUGUCUGAAGAUGGGGGGACCAUCCUCCAAGGCUAAAUACUCGUGAUCGACCGAUAGUGAACCAGUACCGUGAGGGAAAGGCGAAAAGAACCCCGGGAGGGGAGUGAAAUAGAUCCUGAAACCGCAUGCAUACAAACAGUCGGAGCCUCGCAAGGGGUGACGGCGUACCUUUUGUAUAAUGGGUCAGCGACUUACAUUCAGUGGCAAGCUUAACCGAAUAGGGCAGGCGUAGCGAAAGCGAGUCCGAACAGGGCGUUCAGUCGCUGGGUGUAGACCCGAAACCAGGUGAUCUAUCCAUGGCCAGGUUGAAGGCACGGUAACACGUGCUGGAGGACCGAACCCACUAACGUUGAAAAGUUAGGGGAUGAGCUGUGGAUAGGGGUGAAAGGCUAAACAAACCUGGAAAUAGCUGGUUCUCUCCGAAAACUAUUUAGGUAGUGCCUCGUGUAUCACCUUCGGGGGUAGAGCACUGUCAUGGUUGAUGGGUCCAUUGCGGAUUACGUCGCCAUAGCAAACUCCGAAUACCGAAGAGUGCAAUCACGGGAGACAGACAUCGGGUGCUAACGUCCGGUGUCAAGAGGGAAACAACCCAGACCGCCAGCUAAGGUCCCCAAAUAUGGCUAAGUGGGAAACGAAGUGGGAAGGCUAAAACAGUCAGGAGGUUGGCUUAGAAGCAGCCACCCUUUAAAGAAAGCGUAAUAGCUCACUGAUCGAGUCGUCCUGCGCGGAAGAUGUAACGGGGCUAAGCCAUAUACCGAAGCUGCGGAUGCACAUUUAUGUGCAUGGUAGGAGAGCGUUCUGUAAGCCUGCGAAGGUGCGUUGAAAAGCGUGCUGGAGGUAUCAGAAGUGCGAAUGCUGACAUGAGUAGCGAUAAAGGGGGUGAAAGGCCCCCUCGCCGUAAGCCCAAGGUUUCCUACGCAACGUUCAUCGGCGUAGGGUGAGUCGGCCCCUAAGGCGAGGCAGAAAUGCGUAGCUGAUGGGAAGCAGGUCAAUAUUCCUGCACCAUUGUUGAAUGCGAUGGGGGGACGGAUCGCGGAAGGUUGUCCGGGUGUUGGAAGUCCCGGUCCUUGCAUUGGAGAAGGCGCUUUGGCAAAUCCGGGCGCGGAAUUCAAGGGUGCGAGGCCAUGCUCUUCGGAGCAGAAGCAACUGGAAGUGGUUCCAAGAAAAGCCUCUAAGCUUCAGUUCAACAGUGACCGUACCGCAAACCGACACAGGUGGGCGAGAUGAGUAUUCUAAGGCGCUUGAGAGAACUCGGGAGAAGGAACUCGGCAAAUUGGUACCGUAACUUCGGGAUAAGGUACGCCCUUGUAGCUUGACUGGCCUGCGCCAGGAGGGUGAAGGGGUUGCAAUAAACUGGUGGCUGCGACUGUUUAAUAAAAACACAGCACUCUGCAAACACGAAAGUGGACGUAUAGGGUGUGACGCCUGCCCGGUGCCGGAAGAUUAAAUGAUGGGGUGCAAGCUCUUGAUUGAAGUCCCGGUAAACGGCGGCCGUAACUAUAACGGUCCUAAGGUAGCGAAAUUCCUUGUCGGGUAAGUUCCGACCUGCACGAAUGGCGUAACGAUGGCCACACUGUCUCCUCCCGAGACUCAGCGAAGUUGAAGUGUUUGUGAUGAUGCAAUCUCCCCGCGGCUAGACGGAAAGACCCCAUGAACCUUUACUGUAGCUUUGCAUUGGACUUUGAACCGGUUUGUGUAGGAUAGGUGGGAGGCUGUGAAG